AUGGGCAGUUUGGGUUGCGGAUGCAAGGGGAGGCGAUGGGGAGAUGGGGUGASGGUAGCUCGUUACUUUAGCUUGUGGGGGGUUGCCCCCGCUCGCCCGGUGUUGCCUGCUGGUGCGGACAUGCUCUCAGAUCGGACACAGUGGUGGGUCAGAGCUAAGAGUCUCCCAGCCCUGCUCCUCACGGCAGCAAGAGGCAGGGAGGGUGGCUGCACUGCUGCUGAGCCAGCGAGAGAGGUAAGAGACAGCAGGACACACAUGAAUAUCAUCCUCGUGGGAGGACUUGGCGCCCAGCCUUCCAUGUGCCAUCCGCAUGGAUGCUCCAGGUGGGGCAAAUCUCAUGCUUCACGCUCUGUCCUGCUUCCCUACGGGAAGGGUGAAACUGAGCCUGGUGUGGGGGCUCAGAGCUAUGCCCAAGAUGCCACCUUGGGGGUGCUGGGGUCCCGGGCUGGCUGCAGGCACCCAAAAUAUGCUGGGAGAGCUCACAGGGCAGCUGAGACUCAGAGAGGUGACACAGGAGGACCAGCACUGCCUGUGGGCUGGGACAAGYGCUCACCAGAUGCAGCACGUAAUUCCCUGUGGCAGGACACUGCGUCCCUGGGUCCAGGCACCGGUGAGGGAGGGAGGAGGGCAGACAGCCUGGAUCCCUCUGUCCCAGUGCUGCACCUGGAAGGGGGCACUGCUGGUUCAAGUCCCAGCAAUGUGGUGGCUGUGAAGGGAGAAAAAGCCUCUCUCCAAGGCACUGGAGGGCUUUUCUGGGAAGAGUUUGCAGGUUUUAGACCUGGGUCUCAUCUCAGUGGCUUUGUGGGAUGGCACCUGGCUUAUGUGGCUCUUAGGGACAGCAGACUCACCCUCCUGGUUAAAAGAGCCCCYUCUCCUGUCAUGUCAUGGCACAGAAGAUGCUCAGCUGCGUUGGGUUCACCAGGUGCAGGCAGGUCUUUGGGACCGCCCAUCCCUCUCUCAUCCCUUACUGGCAGCACAGUGGCCCCUAGGUUGCCCCUGUCCCCCAGGCUGGAAAGAGCCUAUGUCUUUCCUAGCCUGUACCAACAUCACUGCUGCUCCAGGGAUCCAGAGCAAAAAUGCUCUGUGAGCUGA
RNAcentral lists this long non-coding RNA (1092 nucleotides) under Apteryx haastii (Great spotted kiwi). RNAcentral describes it as "lncRNA (ENSAHAG00000019189.1)". The record is from RNAcentral. Lineage: Eukaryota; Metazoa; Chordata; Aves; Apterygiformes; Apterygidae.